AUUCAGUAUUCCCUGAUAAAAUACAUCUAUUACUCCUGCAAAGUAUUUCUGAGCAACAACACUGAUUAUUAACUUAAACACUUAUCUGACACAACGUGCUGUGGAAAAGUAUAUAGAUUUUUAUGCAGAGAGAUAUCAAAUUGGAGUGAUGUAUCUGUUUUUAUGGGAUUGGAGAAGUACGAAUUCAGAGUAACGUAUCUGUUUUUAUGGGAUUGGAGAGGUACGAAUUCAGAGUAACGUAUCUGUUUUUAUGGGAUUGGAGAAGUACGAAUUCAGAGUAACGUAUCUGUUUUUAUGGGAUUGGAGAAGUACGAAUUCAAAGUAACGUAUCUGUUUUUAUGGGAUUGGAGUAAAACAACAUUUGUGUGAACCCCUGGGUAAUAAAUACAUUGAGUAUGAUAACAGUAACACUUAAACUAUCUACAUAGUAUGGGGAGUUUGUCUGCUUUUCAUAUGGAAUUCUUUACAGGUAUUUCAAAAUGUGGAAUCAUCUCAACUAUUUCAUUGUUAACAAUAAUA
Long non-coding RNA from Haliotis rubra (blacklip abalone), 519 nucleotides. RefSeq lists it as uncharacterized. The transcript has 2 exons. NCBI's taxonomy places the organism in Eukaryota, Metazoa, Mollusca, Gastropoda, Lepetellida, Haliotidae. The record is from RefSeq and is a predicted model, not a curated record.